UUUGAUCCUGGCGUCAGGAUGAACGCUGGCGGCGUGCCUAACACAUGCAAGUCGAACGAAGCAUAAGGAGCGGAAGUUUUCGGAUGGAAGCAACUUAUGACUGAGUGGCGGACGGGUGAGUAACGCGUGGGUAACCUGCCCCACACAGGGGGACAACAGCUGGAAACGGCUGCUAAUACCGCAUAAGCGCACAAGGGCUGCAUGGCCUGGUGUGAAAAGCUGAGGCGGUGUGGGAUGGACCCGCGUCCGAUUAGGUAGUUGGCAGGGGUAGAGGCCUACCAAGCCUGCGAUCGGUAGCCGGCCUGAGAGGGUGGACGGCCACAUUGGGACUGAGACACGGCCCAAACUCCUACGGGAGGCAGCAGUGGGGUAUAUUGCACAAUGGGCGCAAGCCUGAUGCAGCGACGCCGCGUGGGUGAAGAAGUACCUCGGUACGUAAAGCCCUAUCAGCAGGGAAGAAAAUGACGGUACCUGACUAAGAAGCUCCGGCUAAAUACGUG
This 500-nucleotide ribosomal RNA is filed under the name uncultured Lachnospiraceae bacterium. Its description in RNAcentral is "bacterial SSU rRNA". It matches the Rfam family "Bacterial small subunit ribosomal RNA", at positions 12 to 507 of the family's 1533-position model. The record is from RNAcentral. Lineage: Bacteria; Bacillati; Bacillota; Clostridia; Lachnospirales; Lachnospiraceae.